This 253-nucleotide ribosomal RNA is filed under the name uncultured prokaryote. Its description in RNAcentral is "partial 16S ribosomal RNA". It matches the Rfam family "Bacterial small subunit ribosomal RNA", at positions 525 to 777 of the family's 1533-position model. The record is from RNAcentral.
ACGGAGGGGGCUAGCGUUGUUCGGAAUUACUGGGCGUAAAGCGCACGUGGGCGGCUUUUUAAGUCAGGGGUGAAAUCCCGGGGCUCAACCCCGGAACUGCCCUUGAAACCGGAGAGCUAGAAUCUUGGAGAGGCGAGUGGAAUUCCGAGUGUAGAGGUGAAAUUCGUAGAUAUUCGGAAGAACACCAGUGGCGAAGGCGGCUCACUGGACUGGUAUUGACGCUGAGGUGCGAAAGCGUGGGGAGCAAACAGGA